UACGGAGGGUGCAAGCGUUGUCCGGAUUUAUUGGGUUUAAAGGGUGCGUAGGCGGCCCUGUAAGUCAGCGGUGAAAUCCCAGGGCUCAACCCUGGAACUGCCGUUGAUACUGCAGGGCUUGAGUUCGGUUAAGGCGGGCGGAACUGGUGGUGUAGCGGUGAAAUGCAUAGAUACCACCAAGAACCCCGAUUGCGUAGGCAGCUCGCUGAGCCGAAACUGACGCUGAGGCACGAAAGCGUGGGGAGCGAACAGG
This 253-nucleotide non-coding RNA is filed under the name uncultured bacterium. RNAcentral describes it as "partial 16S ribosomal RNA". It matches the Rfam family "Bacterial small subunit ribosomal RNA", at positions 524 to 776 of the family's 1533-position model. RNAcentral also lists the same sequence under 3 other names. The record is from RNAcentral.